AGAUGUGAGAGCCAUCUGGCUGUGACAUCUUUCACUGCACUGAUUACCAGGGUUAAUUCAGUUGAUCUGGCUGGCUAGGUGGGUGUCCCCUUCCUCCCUCACCAUUCCAAGUAUGGUGAGCCCAAAGCUGUGUGCUUGGUAAAAGAGAACAACCAUCCCAUCCAAAAUAUAUAUUUUAGUCCAGCAUAUCAUAGCCAGCACUUCCUCUCAUAUUAACCACUUCACCCACUAAGAAUUAUGAGAGAGGCCUACUUGGGACAGAUUUCACUUCUUGAGUUGAUCAGAAGAGUGGAACAGUUUGA
This is a non-coding RNA of Podarcis lilfordi (Lilford's wall lizard), 302 nucleotides long. Lineage: Eukaryota; Metazoa; Chordata; Lepidosauria; Squamata; Lacertidae. The record is from the annotation of a GenBank genome assembly.